Helianthus annuus (common sunflower) is the source of this 1253-nucleotide long non-coding RNA. RefSeq lists it as uncharacterized. NCBI's taxonomy places the organism in Eukaryota, Viridiplantae, Streptophyta, Magnoliopsida, Asterales, Asteraceae. The record is from RefSeq and is a predicted model, not a curated record. The transcript is spliced from 6 exons.
CUUAAGUUCUUUCCACCUUUCACCUCCUCCUAAUCUUAUCCAUGGCUAAAAUAACAAGCCAGCCCUAACAACCUGCUCGGAAUUUAACUCCGUCGAACAAGCCCUAACUCUAUUUUCAUAUUAUUAUGUUGUGUUGAUAAUUUUUUAUCAUACAUUUCCUCUGUUAAUGUUGUCUUUGGAUUUGUUGAAGAUCUCCACUCCACUCCACUAAAGAUCCGCCAUUUUUCUGAACAAAUGGUAGUAGGUUUGUUCCUCCGAGCUUUCACCUCAUCCCAUCCCUUUCCUCACAAUUUCAACUUUACGACGUUUUUCUGAGCUUUAGGUUUGAAAAUACCCGGCCGCCUUCUCGACCACAGGCUACUACUUAUGAUUUUGGACGUCUAUAUAUACGAAUCACAUGGCGCAUUUCAAACCUUAAAGUACGAGCUUAAUAAAGAGAUCCGUCCAGUAUUUACUCUUACAUUAGGGCCUACAAGGCCACCAAAACUCUUUACGAAAGCGGAACUCUUAGAGCGUAUGCAUGAGUCAAGCAAUGGGACUGAUGCUACAAGGCAUAAACAUAUCAAGAAUUUGAUUCACAGGUCUUAUAAUAUUAAGAGUUGUAACAACAUUUAGAUCUCAAAAGACCUACUCGGCUCCAAACCAUCUUUCUGGGGUUAGCAUGUGCGCCACUGUUUCCCCCUUUGAUCAUUCAAUGUCCGCCUACUACCGAAAAGAUCAUGUGCUACUGCUGCGUCUUCACCCUGCUACUUCACAUUAAGACUGAUGUGAAACAACCACAAGGAUUGUGUAUUGUCCCAAAUUUGGAGGAUCUCCAAAUGCGAACACCGUCGGAGCUGCUGGAUACAUCAGCGUCAACUUGCUUCAAGAGGCCAAUGCGGCUAAGGGAAGACAAGACCAACAUGCUCUUCCGCCAGGUGGUUUACUUCAACCCCGGGUGUGAUUAUGCGAGGCUAGGACCGUUCCUGGUUGAGGCCAAGAAGGUCCUCACCCCGGACGGACCCCCGACGGCUUGGUGCGUUUGGCCAGCCUACCGAACCUUACCUCAAGUGGACUCUGGAGCAAGUGGGUCAUGAGAAGGGGCUGGUGUGCUCCUCGGAGAUUACCAUCCCCUAGGGUGGUCGAAAGGGACACCCCCUUCCUGUUGUCGGAUGAUUUUUGCUUUUUGGUAUAUUAUCUUUACACAAGACUCAAAUUGUUAGAAGAAAUACUGUAAUUUUAAUUUCAUCAAGUAGAAAGCUUGCGGCGGCGAA